GGAAGAGAUGACCGGAUACAUUCUAUUUCUUUUAUCUGGAUAUUAAGCCAUCUGCAUAAGUGUUAAUGAAACCUGAGGUACUCAGAGCAGUCCUGUUGUGACCUGGGAGUGAACCACGGAGGUCUGGAAGCCUCAAAAAAUAUCCGAGAAAGAGAUAGAGGAAAAACACAAUACAAAAGCAUCCACUAUGAGCUAUACUUUGAGAACAAGCAUUUCUGGUUCAGAGAGCUUCCACCGU
Molecule: long non-coding RNA, 238 nt
Organism: Mus caroli (Ryukyu mouse)
Lineage: Eukaryota; Metazoa; Chordata; Mammalia; Rodentia; Muridae
Source: RefSeq, a predicted model, not a curated record